This 290-nucleotide unclassified non-coding RNA is filed under the name uncultured fungus. RNAcentral's name for it is "partial contains small subunit ribosomal RNA, internal transcribed spacer 1, and 5.8S ribosomal RNA". The stretch from base 1 to 73 matches the Rfam family "Eukaryotic small subunit ribosomal RNA", at positions 1759 to 1831 of the family's 1831-position model. The record is from RNAcentral. Lineage: Eukaryota; Fungi.
UCAAACUUGGUCAUUUAGAGGAAGUAAAAGUCGUAACAAGGUCUCCGUUGGUGAACCAGCGGAGGGAUCAUUACCGGAUCGUCGCGAGACGUCCCCUAAACCUUUGUGAACCUACCUACGUAGUGCUUCGGCAGGCCGCCUCUCCGGCCCGCCCGGGGAGCUCCCGCUCGCGGGAGCCUGCCGGAGUGCCAACACAAACUCUGCAACUUUGUGACAUCUCAGAGAAAAAACGAAUCGUAACAACUUUCAACAAUGGAUCUCUUGGUUCUGGCAUCGAUGAAGAACGCAGC